UAGGGAAUCUUCGGCAAUGGACGGAAGUCUGACCGAGCAACGCCGCGUGAGUGAAGAAGGUUUUCGGAUCGUAAAGCCCUGUUGUUAGAGAAGAACGUUGGUAGGAGUGGAAAAUCUACCAAGGGACGGAAACUAACCAGAAAGGGACGGCUAACUACGUGCCAGCAGCAGCGGUAUAACGUAGGUCCCGAGCGUUGUCCGGACUUCUUGGGCGUAAAGCGAGCGCAGGCGGUUCUUUAAGUCUGAAGUUAAAGGCAGUGGCUUAACAAAUCUGAAGUUAAAAGAAGUGGCUUAACCAUUUUACGAAUUGGAAACUGGAGGACUUGAGUGCAGAAGGGGAGAGUGGAAUUCCAUGUGGAGCGGUGAUAUGCGUAGAUAUAUGAAGGAACACCGGUAGCAAGAGCGGCUCUAUGGUCUGUAACUGACGCUGAGGCUCGAAAGCGUGGGGAGCAAACAGG
This 458-nucleotide ribosomal RNA is filed under the name Bacillota bacterium. Its description in RNAcentral is "Firmicutes bacterium partial 16S ribosomal RNA". It matches the Rfam family "Bacterial small subunit ribosomal RNA", at positions 355 to 776 of the family's 1533-position model. Lineage: Bacteria; Bacillati; Bacillota. The record is from RNAcentral.